RNAcentral lists this long non-coding RNA (1459 nucleotides) under Bemisia tabaci. RNAcentral describes it as "lncRNA ENSSSA1UGG008879". Lineage: Eukaryota; Metazoa; Arthropoda; Insecta; Hemiptera; Aleyrodidae. The record is from RNAcentral.
UCCAGAAAUAAAGAAAAAAAAUCUAAAAAAAACUUGCUUCACAUUUUAUUUACGAAAAAAUUUCGUGAAAUUUCCACAAUAUUGCAACCAUGUGUCUUGAGGCUCUCGAUUCGAUUGGUUGCUCAAAUGGUGAGCUCAACAAUUCAACGUUCAUCAAAAGAAAUUUUGUGUCUGUACAAGUCUGUAGCAACUUUCAUGUCACAAGGUGAAAUGAACCAUAAAUAUGAAAAAAGUUAAGUAUUCAGUCUUGAGGAAAAGCAAAAGAGGUGCGUCGGAUCAAAGUUUGUCGUUUAAGUGGGGACAUCAGCAAGAAGUAAACGAGUCAUCAUGGUUCAUUCGUGUUGUUGUCAAUUCGUUCAAUGGUGUCGCAACUUUUUUUUCUGAGCAUGUGCCCUAUUGGGAUGAAGUGGUCAAUUCGGAUGAGAAUGAACACAGAGUUGCCAAAAAGUUCUCAGCAUUCAUAUUCGGUCUUCUCAUAGGACUAUUGCUUUACGAAAUCAUCGUGUUGACUUGCAAUUCGAUGCGCUGACUGCCUAUGUAUUGGGAGCAAGUAUCAGUCUAAUAUUGGCCUUCGGAAACGCCAUUUCUUCGCAGGUAUGUAGAUAAAAAGCGUUCAACUCUGUAAUGGCUCUCAACAUAUAAUGCUAUAUUAUUGGGGAGGGCAGGGGGGGGGUGUAUUAUGUAUUACCCAUGGUAGUAUCAAAAAUGAAUUCGCUCAUACCAGUGGCGUGGCGUGAAUAAUCGAUUAUCGAUAUCUCGCCAUUUGAAGCUAUGGUUAAGAAUCGAUUAUUAAGGUGUUCGCUGCGAACACCCUGUUUAUCGAUCCUUUUUCAUAGGUUUAAAUGGCAUUACAAUCGAUGUAUCGCAAAUCACGCCACGCCACUGGCUCAUACCCCAAUUCAUCGGAGUGUAAAACCCACCCACGAUGCACGCGAGAAAGCGGAAAAGAGAGAAAAAAACAUUAGUGCGUUUGGCGAAAGGGGAACAAGCCACAUCAGCUGUUGCCGAAUUUAACGGGCCAAUUUAAUUUUUAACACGAGAACGUUUGUACAGAUUCUUUAGAAAAUGUUGAGAAAUUUCCUUCGCACAAUGCAGAAAAUUCACUGAAUUUUGCACAAAUAUUCGCGCAUAGUUUUCAUGUAAAAAAUUAAAUUGCCCAAUUAAAUUUGGCAAUAAUUAAUAUGGCUUUACUCCUUUCUGCUUAACGCGGUUCGUAUAUAAAAGGAAACGUUAGGUGGCCUAUAUUAUAUCAGUGGCGAGGCAUUCUUCGCGAUAUAUCGAUUGAGCUGCCAUUUAAACCUAUAGAAAAGUAUUGAUAAACCGGGUGUUCGCAACGAACACUUAAAUAAUCGAUUCUUUAUCACAGAUUCAAAUGGGAAAACAUCGAUGGUCGAUCAUCAACGCCUCAUCACUGCGUAAAAUGUGGCCAUUCAAUCGGAUUUUUUCGAUUUAUUUUUCU